CAAAACCUCACACUUUGGAGGUGUCGUCUACCGCUUCAAUGAUAAGUUUAGGAUUCUGCCUCAAUGUAUUUCAGUUGUCAUGCAAUAUUUAAACUCACAUAUCUAAGCAACCAUGACUACAAACAUCUCUACUUUGAAUCGGACGCUGCUACAGUCAACGAGAUUGUGCUGAAGAGCAACCCUCUCUGUCCCACAGCUGGGAAGUCUGAAGACUCGCACGCCCCUCUCUUUCUCUGCCGUUUCU
This is a non-coding RNA of Pogona vitticeps (central bearded dragon), 244 nucleotides long. NCBI's taxonomy places the organism in Eukaryota, Metazoa, Chordata, Lepidosauria, Squamata, Agamidae. The record is from RefSeq and is a predicted model, not a curated record.